AGUGAACGCUGGCGGUAGGCCUAACACAUGCGAGUCGAACGGCAGCACAGUAAGAGCUUGCUCUUACGGGUGGCGAGUGGCGGACGGGUGAGGAAUACAUCGGAAUCUACUUUUUCGUGGGGGAUAACGUAGGGAAACUUACGCUAAUACCGCAUACGACCUACGGGUGAAAGCAGGGGAUCUUCGGACCUUGCGCGAUUGAAUGAGCCGAUGUCGGAUUAGCUAGUUGGCGGGGUAAAGGCCCACCAAGGCGACGAUCCGUAGCUGGUCUGAGAGGAUGAUCAGACACACUGGAACUGAGACACGGUCCAGACUCCUACGGGAGGCAGCAGUGGGGAAUAUUGGACAAUGGGCGCAAGCCUGAUCCAGCCAUACCGCGUGGGUGAAGAAGGCCUUCGGGUUGUAAAGCCCUUUUGUUGGGAAAGAAAAGCAGCAGGUUAAUACCCCGCUGUUCUGACGGUACCCAAAGAAUAAGCACCGGCUAACUUCGUG
RNAcentral lists this ribosomal RNA (492 nucleotides) under uncultured bacterium. RNAcentral's name for it is "partial 16S ribosomal RNA". It matches the Rfam family "Bacterial small subunit ribosomal RNA", at positions 29 to 507 of the family's 1533-position model. The record is from RNAcentral.